RNAcentral lists this ribosomal RNA (492 nucleotides) under uncultured Desulfobulbus sp. Its description in RNAcentral is "bacterial SSU rRNA". It matches the Rfam family "Bacterial small subunit ribosomal RNA", at positions 904 to 1382 of the family's 1533-position model. Lineage: Bacteria; Pseudomonadati; Thermodesulfobacteriota; Desulfobulbia; Desulfobulbales; Desulfobulbaceae. The record is from RNAcentral.
GCUCAGAACUUAAGGAAUUGACGGGGCCGCACAAGCGUGGAGUAUGUGGUUUAAUUCGAUGCAACGCGAAGAACCUUACCUGGUCUUGACAUCCCGGAGACCCUUAGGAAACUAGGGGGUGCUUCCAUCUGGAAGAAUCUGGAGACAGGUGCUGCAUGGCUGUCGUCAGCUCGUGUCGUGAGAUGUUGGGUUAAGUCCCGCAACGAGCGCAACCCUUGCCUUUAGUUGCCAGCAGUUCGGCUGGGCACUCUAAAGGGACUGCCGGUGUUAAACCGGAGGAAGGUGGGGAUGACGUCAAGUCCUCAUGGCCUUUAUGACCAGGGCUACACACGUACUACAAUGGCCGAUACAAAGGGCAGCGACACUGCGAGGUGAAGCCAAUCCCGUAAAAUCGGUCUCAGUCCGGAUUGGAGUCUGCAACUCGACUCCAUGAAGUUGGAAUCGCUAGUAAUCGUGGAUCAGCAUGCCACGGUGAAUACGUUCCCGGGCCUU